RNAcentral lists this ribosomal RNA (750 nucleotides) under Cytobacillus oceanisediminis. RNAcentral's name for it is "bacterial SSU rRNA". It matches the Rfam family "Bacterial small subunit ribosomal RNA", at positions 79 to 814 of the family's 1533-position model. Lineage: Bacteria; Bacillati; Bacillota; Bacilli; Caryophanales; Bacillaceae. The record is from RNAcentral.
CUUGCUCCCUGAAGUCAGCGGCGGACGGGUGAGUAACACGUGGGCAACCUGCCUGUAAGACUGGGAUAACUCCGGGAAACCGGGGCUAAUACCGGAUAAUUCUUUCCCUCACAUGAGGGAAAGCUGAAAGAUGGUUUCGGCUAUCACUUACAGAUGGGCCCGCGGCGCAUUAGCUAGUUGGUGAGGUAACGGCUCACCAAGGCAACGAUGCGUAGCCGACCUGAGAGGGUGAUCGGCCACACUGGGACUGAGACACGGCCCAGACUCCUACGGGAGGCAGCAGUAGGGAAUCUUCCGCAAUGGACGAAAGUCUGACGGAGCAACGCCGCGUGAGUGAUGAAGGUUUUCGGAUCGUAAAACUCUGUUGUUAGGGAAGAACAAGUACCGGAGUAACUGCCGGUACCUUGACGGUACCUAACCAGAAAGCCACGGCUAACUACGUGCCAGCAGCCGCGGUAAUACGUAGGUGGCAAGCGUUGUCCGGAAUUAUUGGGCGUAAAGCGCGCGCAGGCGGUUCCUUAAGUCUGAUGUGAAAGCCCCCGGCUCAACCGGGGAGGGUCAUUGGAAACUGGGGAACUUGAGUGCAGAAGAGAAGAGUGGAAUUCCACGUGUAGCGGUGAAAUGCGUAGAGAUGUGGAGGAACACCAGUGGCGAAGGCGACUCUUUGGUCUGUAACUGACGCUGAGGCGCGAAAGCGUGGGGAGCAAACAGGAUUAGAUACCCUGGUAGUCCACGCCGUAAACGAUGAGU